This 231-nucleotide long non-coding RNA is filed under the name Nicotiana benthamiana. Its description in RNAcentral is "long non-coding RNA (NBEN_LNC037784)". The record is from RNAcentral. Lineage: Eukaryota; Viridiplantae; Streptophyta; Magnoliopsida; Solanales; Solanaceae.
CCGCUUGUGGGGAUUACUUAGUGAAGUUUUCUAGUUUCUCCCAAAUCAAAGACGAGAAAUACGAUCUCCUUCCAAAAGGAGCUCGAAAAAAGAGCCCAACCCAUGUGACACAAAGGCGCAGUACGGUAGGGGGAAGAAUCGAGAAAAAUUACCAAACUUAGAAAUCCUCGCCCCAUCAACCACCGAUACGCCAAACAAGACUGAUAAUAUUACCAACAUGCUCUCCUCCAU